This 440-nucleotide ribosomal RNA is filed under the name uncultured bacterium. RNAcentral describes it as "partial 16S ribosomal RNA". It matches the Rfam family "Bacterial small subunit ribosomal RNA", at positions 338 to 795 of the family's 1533-position model. The record is from RNAcentral.
CCUACGGGUGGCAGCAGUGGGGAAUAUUGGACAAUGGGGGAAACCCUGAUCCAGCGACGCCGCGUGAGUGAAGAAGUAUUUCGGUACGUAAAGCUCUAUCAGCAGGGAAGAAAAUUACGGUACCUGACUAAUAACCCCCGGCUAACUACGUGCCAGCAGCCGCGGUAAUACGGAGGGGGCAAGCGUUAUCCGGAAUUACUGGGGGUAACGGGAGCGGAGACGGCAGUGCAAGGCUGGAGGGAAAUGCCGGGGCCCAACCCCGGAACUGCUCUGGAAACUGGGAAGCUGGAGUGCAGGAGAGGUAAGCGGAAUUCCUGGUGUAGCGGUGAAAUGCGUAGAUAUCAGGAGGAACACCGGCGGCGAAGGCGGCUUACUGGACUGUAACUGACGUUGAGGCUCGAAGGCGUGGGGAGCAAACAGGAUUAGAUACCCGAGUAGUC